Molecule: ribosomal RNA, 401 nt
Filed under: uncultured bacterium
Lineage: Bacteria
Description: bacterial SSU rRNA
Rfam family: Bacterial small subunit ribosomal RNA
Source: RNAcentral
GAAUUUUCCACAAUGGGCGAAAGUCUGACGCAGCAACGCCGCGUGGGUGAUGAAGGUCUUCGGAUCGUAAAACCCUUUUGAGGGAGACGAGCAAGGACGGUAUCUCUCGAAUAAGUCUCAGCUAACUACGUGCCAGCAGCCGCGGUAAGACGUAGGAGGCGAGCGCUAUCCGGAUUCACUGGGUGUAAAGCGCGUGCAGGUGGUCUCGUAAGUUGGACGUAAAAUCUCCUGGCUCAACUGGGAGGGGCCGUUCAAUACUGCGGGGCUAGAGGGCAGGAGAGGGAGGUGGAAUUCCCGGUGUAGUGGUGAAAUGCGUAGAUAUCGGGAGGAACACCAGUGGCGAAAGCGGCCUCCUGGCCUGCUCCUGACACUAAGACGCGAAAGCUAGGGGAGCGAACGGG